GGAGGGUUAGUUUAAGUAUUUUGAGAAUCCUGUUUUUGUAAAGCAGGGGUGGUUUUUGCUGCCCUCCA
This 68-nucleotide transfer RNA is filed under the name Fasciola gigantica. RNAcentral's name for it is "tRNA-Thr". Lineage: Eukaryota; Metazoa; Platyhelminthes; Trematoda; Plagiorchiida; Fasciolidae. The record is from RNAcentral.